UUGGUUUAAUUCGUAUGCAACGACGAAGAACCUUACCUAGGCUUGACACUCCUGGUAAUUUUGUGGAAACACAAAGUGCCUUUCGGGGAACCAGGAGACAGGUGCUGCAUGGCUGUCGUCAGCUCGUGUCGUGAGAUGUUGGGUUAAGUCCCGCAACGAGCGCAACCCUUGUCCUUAGUUGCCACCAUUCAGUUGGGCACUCUAAGGAGACUGCCGGUGUUAAACCGGAGGAAGGUGGGGAUGACGUCAAGUCCUCAUGGCCCUUAUAUCCAGGGCUACACACGUGCUACAAUGGCCGGUACCGACGGAGGCGAAGCCGCGAGGCGGAGCAAAUCCGAAAAGCCGGUCUCAGUUCGGAUUGCAGGCCGCAAUUCGCCUGCAUGAAGUCGGAAUCGCUAGUAAUCGCAGGUCAGCAUACUGCGGUGAAUACGUUCCCGGGCCUU
RNAcentral lists this ribosomal RNA (443 nucleotides) under uncultured Geobacter sp. RNAcentral's name for it is "bacterial SSU rRNA". It matches the Rfam family "Bacterial small subunit ribosomal RNA", at positions 941 to 1382 of the family's 1533-position model. The record is from RNAcentral. Lineage: Bacteria; Pseudomonadati; Thermodesulfobacteriota; Desulfuromonadia; Geobacterales; Geobacteraceae.